Molecule: ribosomal RNA, 253 nt
Filed under: uncultured bacterium
Lineage: Bacteria
Description: partial 16S ribosomal RNA
Rfam family: Bacterial small subunit ribosomal RNA
Source: RNAcentral
UACGGAGGGGGCAAGCGUUAUUCGGAAUUACUGGGCGUAAAGGGCUCGUAGGCGGCCAACUAAGUCCGACGUGAAAUCCCAAGGCUUAACCUUGGAACUGCGUCGGAUACUGGAUGGCUUGAAUUCGGGAGAGGGAUGCAGAAUUCCAGGUGUAGCGGUGAAAUGCGUAGAUAUCUGGAGGAAUACCGGUGGCGAAGGCGGCAUCCUGGACCGACAUUGACGCUGAGGAGCGAAAGCUAGGGGAGCAAACGGG